AACGAACGCUGGCGGCAUGCCUAACACAUGCAAGUCGAACAAAGCCUUCGGGCUUAGUGGCGCACGGGUGCGUAACGCGUGGGAAUCUGCCCCUUGCUUCGGAAUAACAGUUAGAAAUGACUGCUAAUACCGGAUGAAGUCUUCGGACCAAAGAUUUAUCGGCAAGGGAUGAGCCCGCGUAGGAUUAGGUAGUUGGUGGGGUAAAGGCCUACCAAGCCGACGAUCCUUAGCUGGUCUGAGAGGAUGAUCAGCCACACUGGGACUGAGACACGGCCCAGACUCCUACGGGAGGCAGCAGUGGGGAAUAUUGGACAAUGGACGCAAGUCUGAUCCAGCAAUGCCGCGUGAGUGAUGAAGGCCUUAGGGUUGUAAAGCUCUUUUACCAGGGAUGAUAAUGACAGUACCUGGAGAAUAAGCUCCGGCUAACUCCGUG
RNAcentral lists this ribosomal RNA (433 nucleotides) under uncultured bacterium. RNAcentral's name for it is "partial 16S ribosomal RNA". It matches the Rfam family "Bacterial small subunit ribosomal RNA", at positions 29 to 507 of the family's 1533-position model. The record is from RNAcentral.